UACAGAGGUCUCAGGCGUUGUUCGGAUUCAUUGGGCGUAAAGGGUGUGUAGGUGGCGCGCUACGUCGGUUGUGAAAUUUCGGAGCUUAACUCCGAAACUGCAUUCGAUACUGGCGUGCUUGAGGACUGGAGAGGAGACUGGAAUUCAUGGUGUAGCAGUGAAAUGCGUAGAGAUCAUGAGGAAGACCAGUGGCGAAGGCGGGUCUCUGGACAGUUCCUGACGCUGAGGCACGAAGGCCAGGGGAGCAAACGGG
This 253-nucleotide ribosomal RNA is filed under the name uncultured bacterium. RNAcentral's name for it is "partial 16S ribosomal RNA". It matches the Rfam family "Bacterial small subunit ribosomal RNA", at positions 524 to 776 of the family's 1533-position model. The record is from RNAcentral.